Molecule: ribosomal RNA, 253 nt
Filed under: uncultured bacterium
Lineage: Bacteria
Description: partial 16S ribosomal RNA
Rfam family: Bacterial small subunit ribosomal RNA
Source: RNAcentral
GACGGAAGGUGCAAGCGUUGCUCGGAAUCACUGGGCGUAAAGGGUGCGUAGGCGGUCGGGUAAGUCUGACGUGAAAUCUCCAAGCUCAACUUGGAAAUGGCAUCGGAUACUAUUCGGCUCGAGGAAUGGAGGGGAGACUGGAAUACUUGGUGUAGCAGUGAAAUGCGUAGAUAUCAAGUGGAACACCAGUGGCGAAGGCGAGUCUCUGGACAUUUCCUGACGCUGAGGCACGAAAGCCAGGGGAGCAAACGGG